AUUGAACGCUGGCGGCAGGCCUAACACAUGCAAGUCGAACGGUAGCACAGAGAGCUUGCUCUCGGGUGACGAGUGGCGGACGGGUGAGUAAUGUCUGGGAAACUGCCUGAUGGAGGGGGAGUAACUACUGGAAACGGUAGCUAAUACCGCAUAAUGUCGCAAGACCAAAGAGGGGGACCUUAGGGCCUCUUGCCAUCAGAUGUGCCCAGAUGGGAUUAGCUAGG
RNAcentral lists this ribosomal RNA (224 nucleotides) under uncultured bacterium. RNAcentral's name for it is "partial 16S ribosomal RNA". It matches the Rfam family "Bacterial small subunit ribosomal RNA", at positions 30 to 249 of the family's 1533-position model. The record is from RNAcentral.